UUGGCUGCUGCAGUGUUUGUGUGCCUGUUGUCAUUUGGGUUGUGCUCUGGCUUAACGCUGACUUGCGCUGCCAUUCUUAUGCUUUGUGUCCAGCAGCUAAACAUCGCCCACAGUCCUCCUGGCAGGUUCAGAGUGGGAUGAUGGAGAGAUGGAGAGUCCUGUUGACUUAUAAUACCAAUUAUCGCCCCCAGUUUUGUGCCUGAGGAAUAAUUCUAAAUUAUUUGCAGUGCCGGAAAGGUUGUGUGCCCAAAUCCAUCCUUCCAUCCAUCCAUCAUCCAUCCAUCCAUCCAUCCAUCCAUCCAUCCAUCCAUCCAUCCAUCCAUCCAUCCAUCCAUCCAGAUCCAGGGAUUUCACAUUAGCAAUGGCUCCGUGCAGCAGCCCUAUUCUCUGCUACCUAUUAGCAGAGGGCCGGUCAGGAGGCCCACUGUUGCCUCUGGUGCCCAUUAGAACCAACUGCAUAAACAAACAGCAACGCUUCACCAGGUUGAGAAGAGACAGCCAUCAGCCACGUGUCCGUCAGAGUCACGCUUCAGUGGCAGCGCUGAAGCCUCGGGGCGUGUUGACAGAGGCACCACCUCACAUGCUGCCUCUCGCACCUCUCACCAGUGUCACCCAGAGUCACCGUCACUCCAGUCAUCGCGUCGAGCGAGUCCUUUACUCUGGAGACAUGGCAAGUACGAGUUUCUAACUUUGCCCAGAUGUCAUGGCACUUGUUCCCUAGCGACCGAGCUGCUAACCUCUAACUUAUGCAGGAUAAGUUGAGCAACACGAGAGAAAAAGUCGGGAAUAUUGUUUUACUUCCAAAUUGGCCAAUUUCAGGUUCAAUUUUGUUUCAGUGUUACUUUUGUAGUUUUGAUGGAAUUUAAAGUGGCCUCAAGCAUUUUUGAUUGCUAGAGGGCAGAAACUAAAUUCUGCAACGAACUUACAUAAACAAGCUUUGACAUACUGCUUAACUAUCAGUUUCUAGCAGUCAUAUGCUUCACACUGGAGUCCUUAUAUCCGUGUAAAAAGCACCAGUUGCAUUUCACUCGUGCAUCAAUAAAUAAAAAAAGGUCUUUUCAGUGCUGCUGAUGUAAUUUUUCACAUACUAAAUAAUAACUAUUCAGCAAUAUGUAUCUAAAUAUCCCUCCGAUUUACAAAACUUAACAUGUAGGUUGGUUCAUAGAUUGUGGAACUAAAAAAAGAGGAGCCAUGAGAAAUGUUGACAUCUUUAUUCAGUGAAGAAGAGAUAAGGUCUGCCAAAAAGCUCACUAGAUUUGUUGCUAGGCUGUUUUUCAUUGGCUUGCUACAUGUACAGCUUCA
Long non-coding RNA from Amphiprion ocellaris (clown anemonefish), 1302 nucleotides. RefSeq lists it as uncharacterized. The record is from RefSeq and is a predicted model, not a curated record. NCBI's taxonomy places the organism in Eukaryota, Metazoa, Chordata, Actinopteri, Pomacentridae. The transcript has 3 exons.